Molecule: long non-coding RNA, 331 nt
Organism: Neodiprion fabricii
Lineage: Eukaryota; Metazoa; Arthropoda; Insecta; Hymenoptera; Diprionidae
Exons: 3
Source: RefSeq, a predicted model, not a curated record
GUAAGUUCAUCCUCCAAAUCAGCAGUAUUCCAGUACCCAGUGAACACAUGACCUCCAUAUGACGUCAUAGAUAGGUCACAUAGAGAUCAUCGACUUUUUACAUAGAUAUGACAUAAAAAUGACUUUAUUGAUGACUCUGAUAUGAUGUCAUGUAGUAUGACAUCAUUAUGACAUAGUGCUGACCUAAAAUUUGACUUUUAUAUGACGUCAUGAUUGUGACUUAAAUAUUACGUAAAUAUUAUGUCUUAUCCCUAUCAUAUGUGUGACGUCACAUCAAAGUCAUAAAUUUAUAUAUUAUUUACGUAAGAAAUAAAUCAUACAAUUACAUAAA